Molecule: ribosomal RNA, 497 nt
Filed under: uncultured bacterium
Lineage: Bacteria
Description: partial 16S ribosomal RNA
Rfam family: Bacterial small subunit ribosomal RNA
Source: RNAcentral
GAUGAACGCUGGCGGCGUGCCUAAUACAUGCAAGUCGAGCGAACAGACGAGGAGCUUGCUCCUCUGACGUUAGCGGCGGGCGGGUGAGUAACACGUGGAUAACCUACCUAUAAGACUGGGAUAACUUCGGGAAACCGGAGCUAAUACCGGAUAAUAUAUUGAACCGCAUGGUUCAAUAGUGAAAGACGGUUUUGCUGUCACUUAUAGAUGGAUCCGCGCCGCAUUAGCUAGUUGGUAAGGUAACGGCUUACCAAGGCAACGAUGCGUAGCCGAUCUGAGAGGGUGAUCGGCCACACUGGAACUGAGACACGGUCCAGACUCCUACGGGAGGCAGCAGUAGGGAAUCUUCCGCAAUGGGCGAAAGCUUGACGGAGCAACGCCGCGUGAGUGAUGAAGGUCUUCGGAUCGUAAAACUCUGUUAUUAGGGAAGAACAAAUGUGUAAGUAACUAUGCACGUCUUGACGGUACCUAAUCAGAAAGCCACGGCUAACUACGUG